Long non-coding RNA from Mus musculus (house mouse), 1006 nucleotides. RefSeq annotates it as predicted gene, 34312. The transcript is spliced from 2 exons. NCBI's taxonomy places the organism in Eukaryota, Metazoa, Chordata, Mammalia, Rodentia, Muridae. The record is from RefSeq and is a predicted model, not a curated record.
CUCUCCUCCCUCCCCCUCCCCAGCUGAUCUGUUUGCCCUUCUCUCAGCUGUCCCUGGCUCCGGGGCCUGGCCUGAGUUCCUCCUGUCUGGUAAAUGUACUAAAUCAGCGCCUUUUCUGCUUUCAUCGGAUUUGCGCUCAGCACACCCUUGUCCAGAGCUGGCUCAGAGCUCACCCUGCCUCCUGUGCCAAUUACCUCUAGAGAAAGCGAGCCAGCUAUGCUUGAGUGCCUCCCAAAGCCCACUCAGCAGGUUCUUUGAUUCCAUGAGCCUUGCUGGAGGGAGUGUGUAAGGAGAUGCAGACGGACACCGGACAAGCCCUGACAUAAAGAAUGUGGCGGGCAAAGGGAAGUGGCAGAGAGAGUCCUCACACGGACUCUACAUCUGAUUGCAGCCUUCCUGGUUCAGCCCCGAGAUGGAAGGGGUCUCUCACUUCUGAUCCAUUUGACAGUAAGCUCAUGACCCUCGUCUGUUUGCAUCAAAAUUGGCUCCUCAGUGGUCUUUGGGGUCCCUGAGACUUGGGCGUAACAAGGCCACUGGCCAUGUUUAGUCUGCUAUUUUGUCUUCCUGCUCUGGACUCUUCCAGAUGUCUCUGAUCCCGUUCUCCCUUAUAUCUACUACAACAGUGACCCUUCUCCUCAACCACACCUUGGAACAGUCAUUUCCUCACUUCACGCACUGAUUGAAUGGGCAAACACCAGAUUUCACAGGUCCACGCUGAGGAUUUCAACAGAUCUCCUAGGGAACACAGCGAGGCCUGUAACAAGUGAUAAACAUGUGAAGUGAGCCUGCGACUGUCAGACCCAGGAUAGAAGGGCCAGUGGCUGGAUUGCAGAGUGAAGGGAUGGGGACAGGGAGCGUUUGCAGCCUUUGUGGUAGAGGCCACACUCCAUUCCUGGAUGGUAGCCACUGAGAUGAGAUCUUUGGUUGUAAUACAUUAUCCAGCUGUGCCCUUCUGAAUGUGCACAUUUCUGAAUAUCUAGUGUGUCUCAAUAAAAAUGAUACAGUA